ACACAUCUCUUCCUCUCUCUCUCUCUCUCUCUCUCUCUCUAUAUAUAUAUAUAUAUAUAUAUAUAUAGAGAGAGAGAGAGAGAGAGAGAGAGAAUAUAUAUAUGU
RNAcentral lists this microRNA precursor (105 nucleotides) under Marmota monax (woodchuck). Lineage: Eukaryota; Metazoa; Chordata; Mammalia; Rodentia; Sciuridae. The record is from RNAcentral.